UGUCCCGUCUUCUUACGUGCCCCGUACCUCUGCCCUGUGGCUCUUCGAUCUUUGUUCGGAUGUCAGUCAAUAGUCAGAAGUCGUCAUAUGCGGCUGGCUCUCCAUAGUGCAGCUGUGCACAUUAAAAUCAAUUAAAAUUCUUAUUUAUCUUCGAUUCGAGCCGAGCUUAACAAGUGCAGUCAGUGUGAUGGAAGCAGAAACGGUCGCAUCUAUAAAUAUGUAUUAAUGGAAGAGAACACGCAUUGAAAAACUCGAAAAUGCUAUGCACUUGUACAUAUCUUCAAAGUGAAUUACAGAAAAGAAUAAAUUGCUGCGGCUAUGUAACGAUUCCGAAGCAGUACAAGCUCAAUUGUCGUUAAAUAAGCACAAAAAACCAACAAAAAAAGAACACAAAACAUAAGUUGAGCUCUCGAAACUCCAAAGCUAUUCAACUUGAUAAGUAAUUAAAUUAAUUAAUUUUCAUGUGCUGCCGAUUGUCGUCGAUUCUUGAUUUAUCUGUGCGUGCAAUGAGGCAACUUGUAGAUGCAUUUUUCUUUGCGAAGGCCCCAUUCUAAGUGAACAAUUUGAAGUUGACAAUAUAGGCGAUAUAGCAUAGCCAUGAUCUUUGGUAUAUGUUCCUGUUAGGGAGUGUUACGAGAACUCCCAAAACAAUUUGGACAUCAACAUCAAUUAUGUGUUCUAAACAAGCUUUCGAGUAGCUCCCCAACAGUCUACGCACACAGAACACUAAAGUGGAAAACACAAACAAAUACACCGCAUUCCUUGUUUCUUGGCCACAAAAAAAGUGAAGGGUAAAAAAAAUUGGAAAUAAUUUUAUCACUGUGGGUAUUAUAGGUAACGAAAAAAAAUGCUAACUAAAGUGUAUAUAUAUAACGUAUACGCCUUCAAAGGAGAGACUCGUAUUUUAAAAGAAACUAAGUCAUAUAAAUUCCUUAAAAAAUUAGUAUUAACAUAUCUUAUCAGAGACUGGUCGUAAUGGCACAUUCGUUACCUCUUUUUUAAUUCAUAUGGAAUUACCUGAAACUAUUUCAACCGCAUAAAUAAUUAAUUUAUCUUUCACAGCAUCAUAAGCUGGCAUCGUACUCCAAAAACAACAAAAUGGGAAAAUACUUUAUAAACUUUCACAGUAAAAAAUUGUGUGGUAAAAAAAUUAUACAAUACACAAUUUAUGACUAAGACACAGCCACGCAUUGCUAAGUUAUUGAUUUUUUACAGCUUGGAUUUCGAUACAAUUUCAAAUUCCAGUUACAAAUAAAAUCAAUUUUAAUGGUUUGCAAAUCGAGUGCUCGAAGGUCACGCAAUGCGAGAGACAACGCACAUUUCAAAGAAAAAAGGCAUAAAAAAUAAUAAUAAUAAUCAGACAGGUGACAAUAACAAGAGCAGCAACAAAAACCAAUCCGAGCAACUUGUACAGCUUGUGUCGGCCCACAAAAUGGAACACGCGCCAUUGAAACAGACAACUCUCAGGCAGCGCAGCGAAGUAAGUCAAAGUUAAGGCAAACGCAUUAAGCAUACGCACUGUGUGACGGCCGUUUUGGAAUGGAGGAGCAUUGAGCUUUGAACUAUCAGUCAACAUAUGUAUAUACCAACCACAUUUAAAGAAAAAACAAUUUCUAAUUGAUCAGUGAUGGAUUUUUAUUGAUAAAUCAUAGAUUACCUCAUCAUGACAAGCAGAAAAGGGACAAGCGCUGAUUAAGUUAUGCUGGUAAACACAACGUGGCCAUCCAGAAAUAUUGGAGUACCCAAAAACUUGAGAUUCACGAAAAAUAAUACGCACAUUUAUCAAGAUUCCCCUCCAUUUAUUUUUGCCACAGAAAUUUGUAGUUAAAUUGUAUUUGUAAGACAUUUCGCCUAGGACUAUUUCCCACGUCCAUUUAAAAUAAGCUAUUAAAGCCCUAACGCGUCUAAGAAGCCAAUUCGAAGCACGGACCCAUCCCAUAUCCAUAGCGCUGCAUUCAAGUGCAAUUCCAAGGUGCACUUAUGGCCCACUCCCAGCACCAGCUAAGCGCCCUGUUUGAACAAGUGUUGGAGAAUUUGUUUCCACAAUGGAUGCGAUGUGUGGGCAUGCAUGAGUUUUGCUUUUAUGUUCAAUUACUUGUAUUAACCCAUUAACAUACUGAGCUCAUGCCUAACUAUAAUCCCAGCCGGGUAAUGUUACAAAGUAAGUACAAAUGUUAAAUCAAGACUAAAGCGUCAAGUUCCCUUUCACUUGCAAUACAUGAUAUUAAUGACCGAUACUUCGCGAAUCGAGUUAGUGUGCAGUUUGUGUAUUUUUUCUGUUUGACCAUAAAAUGCUUCAUUCGGCUUCUGUAAAACAUCUCAAUCUCCAAACGCAUUCCAGCCACCAUCCGGACUCCGGAGGGGAGGAAACAUACAAAAUGCCAGCUGACACACACCGAGCAUGCGUACGUGAUUUUGGAUUUAAUUAAGUUUAA
This is a long non-coding RNA of Drosophila ananassae, 2435 nucleotides long. RefSeq lists it as uncharacterized. The record is from RefSeq and is a predicted model, not a curated record. The transcript is spliced from 3 exons. Lineage: Eukaryota; Metazoa; Arthropoda; Insecta; Diptera; Drosophilidae.